AGAGUUUGAUCGUGGCUCAGGAUAAACGCUAGCGGCGCGCUUAAUGCAUGCAAGUCGAGCGAUGAGGCUCCUUCGGGGGUACAUCAGCGGCAGACGGGUGAGUAACACGUGGGUGACCUACCCUCAAGACGGGAAUAACGGUUGGAAACAGGCGCUAAUACCCGAUAUACUUCUGGGGUCAGAGCCAGAAGGAAAGCUUCGGUGCUUGAGGAGGGGCCUGCGGCCCAUCAGCUAGUUGGCAGGGUAAUGGCCUACCAAGGCGUAGACGGGUAGGGGGUGUGAGAGCAUGGCCCCCCACAAUGGGACUGAGACACGGCCCAUACUCCUACGGGAGGCAGCAGCAGGGAAUCUUGCGCAAUGGACGGAAGUCUGACGCAGCGACGCCGCGUGGGUGAUGAAGGCCUUCGGGUUGUAAAGCCCUUUUCUGGGGGACGAGGCAGGACAGUACCUCAGGAAUAAGCGUCGGCUAACUACGUGCCAGCAGCCGCGGUAAGACGUAGGACGCGAGCGUUAUCCGGAUUUACUGGGCGUAAAGCGUCUGUAGGCGGUUCUGUAAGUUGGGUGUGAAAGCCCCGUGCUCAACGCGGGGAGGCCAUUCAAUACUGCGGGACCAGAGUAUGUCAGAGGGGGUGGAAUUCCCGGUGUAGCGGUAAAAUGCGCAGAUAUCGGGAGGAACACCAGUGGCGAAGGUGGCCCCCUGGGGCAAAACUGACGCUGAGAGACGAAAGCUAGGGGAGCGAACAGGAUUAGAGACCCUGGUAGUCCUAGCCCUAAACGAUGGAUGCUAGGUGUGGGGCCGAAGGGUUCCGUGCCGGAGCAAACGCGGUAAGCAUCCCGCCUGGGGAGUACGGCCGCAAGGUUAAAACUCAAACGAAUUGACGGGGACCCGCACAAGCAGCGGAGCGUGUGGUUUAAUUCGAUACUACACGAAGAACCUUACCUGGGUUUGACAUGAAGGUGGUAGGAACGCGAAAGCGGUCUGACCCUUCGGGGAGCCUUCACAGGUGCUGCAUGGCUGUCGUCAGCUCGCGCCGUGAGGUGUCGGGUUAAGUCCCGUAACGAGCGCAACCCUUGCCCUUAGUUACAAGUGUCUAGGGGGACUGCCGGCGGGAAGCCGGAGGAAGGUGGGGAUGACGUCAAGUCAGCAUGGCCCUUAUGUCCAGGGCUACACACACGCUACAAUGGUCAGUACAAAGAGCAGCGAAGCCGCGAGGUGGAGCGAAUCUCAGCAAAGCUGGCUGUAGUUCGAAUAGCAGGCUGCAACUCGCCUGCUUGAAGCUGGAGUUGCUAGUAACCGCGCGUCAGCGAUAGUGCGGUGAAUACGUUCCCGGGUCUUGUACACACCGCCCGUCACGUCAUGGGAGUCGGUAACGCCUGAAGCCAGCAGCCUGACCGUAAGGGGGGCGUUGUCGAAGGCGGGACUGGCGACU
Molecule: ribosomal RNA, 1430 nt
Filed under: metagenome
Description: bacterial SSU rRNA
Rfam family: Bacterial small subunit ribosomal RNA
Source: RNAcentral